GCCUUCGUGGUGAAAAGGUAACACACUCGGCACGUAUUCGAGAGAUCCAGGUUCGAGUCCCAGUAAAGGCA
This 71-nucleotide transfer RNA is filed under the name Stegodyphus mimosarum. It matches the Rfam family "tRNA". Rfam says of the family: Transfer RNA (tRNA) molecules are approximately 80 nucleotides in length. Their secondary structure includes four short double-helical elements and three loops (D, anti-codon, and T loops). Further hydrogen bonds mediate the characteristic L-shaped molecular structure. tRNAs have two regions of fundamental functional importance: the anti-codon, which is responsible for specific mRNA codon recognition, and the 3' end, to which the tRNAs corresponding amino acid is attached (by aminoacyl-tRNA synthetases). tRNAs cope with the degeneracy of the genetic code in two manners: having more than one tRNA (with a specific anti-codon) for a particular amino acid; and 'wobble' base-pairing, i.e. permitting non-standard base-pairing at the 3rd anti-codon position. The record is from Rfam by way of RNAcentral. Lineage: Eukaryota; Metazoa; Arthropoda; Arachnida; Araneae; Eresidae.